GAAACGCGAUAGUUAAUGUGAAUUGCAGAAUUCAGUGAAUCAUCGAGUCUUUGAACGCACAUUGCGCCCAUAGGUAUUCCUUUGGGCAUGUCUGUUUGAGCGUCAUUACAACCCUCAGCUAACCGCUGGUUUUGAACCUGAACGGGUGACACCGCGCCGGUUUUAAAGUUGUAAGCUCUGCUGGCCGCUCUGCCCAACCAGAACAUAGUAAGCACUACUUGUCCGGGUGGAGCUGAACGGUACGGCCUGAACAAAACCUACCCACUCUCAAGGUUUGACCUCAGAUCAGACAAGGAUACCCGCUGAACUUAAGC
RNAcentral lists this unclassified non-coding RNA (314 nucleotides) under plant metagenome. RNAcentral describes it as "partial contains 5.8S ribosomal RNA, internal transcribed spacer 2, and large subunit ribosomal RNA". The stretch from base 1 to 105 matches the Rfam family "5.8S ribosomal RNA", at positions 50 to 154 of the family's 154-position model. The record is from RNAcentral.